Molecule: non-coding RNA, 3415 nt
Organism: Bactrocera oleae (olive fruit fly)
Lineage: Eukaryota; Metazoa; Arthropoda; Insecta; Diptera; Tephritidae
Source: RefSeq, a predicted model, not a curated record
UUAGCAAUUCAAUUUUACAAUCGAUUAUAGUUGUGUAGAUGAUGAAAUAAUAUUAUAUGUGGUUAAUUUGGAAAUUAAUUUUAAAUAUUUUUUAUAUUAUAUAUUAAUAUGUAUUAUUUAUUUAUCAUCCUUUGUUGUUGAUAUAGCAUACUUUUGUAAAAAAUAUAAUCAAUUUUUUCGACGUGACUGUUUCCCUCCUCAUAGAUAAGGGUGGCAGCACCAUUUUGCCCAGCUGAUAUAUUUGCCAAAUACCCUAAAAUGCUAAGAAAAUGAACAUGUGGCAAUAUCAGCAAAUCAUAACAAAAUAUAAGAAAAUAUUUCGGUCACAAUUUCCAGUCAAAUAUUUUAGUGAAAAUAAAUUUCCGUUUAAAACUACAAGAAAAUAGUUUUCUUUAAUAAUAAGUUUAAAAUUUUAAUUUGCGGCAAAUAAAGGAAGAGCAAUGAGAUACAUUCGUUGUGUUGGGCGAAAAUUACAUGGUACAAACCUAGUUAAUAACUCGUUUAAAACCAUAUAUCCAACAAACAUUUUGAAUAAACCCAGGAAUGAGGUAGCCGUAGUCGUUAUUGGCGCAGGACUUGCUGGUCUGUCGGCUGCAAAUCAUUUAAUUAAAAAUGGUUUCAAACAAACAAUAGUAUUAGAGGCUACUGAUCGAUAUGGUGGACGUAUAAUAUCCAAGCAAUUCGGUGAUGCAUAUUGCGAGUUGGGCGCGAAAUUUGUGCCCAUAAAUGCAAAAGAUGAUACGGUCUACAACAUACUACAAAGUAUGCGAGGACUACCGAAAAAAGUAAUACCAAACAAAGACAAAAUGUAUGUAAAUGCCUUUGGAGAAAAAGUUGAUCGGAAACUACCCGAGUUAAUAGAUAGACUCUACAAGCGGCUUUGUUCACAUAUACAGUUGGAUGAAAAAUACAGAACUGGCGCUAUGGAUGACUUAAAUAAUUUACACACAUAUUUUCAAGCUGAAAAAUCAAGAUUAUUAACAUCCGUUUUCAAUGGAGACGAACGAAAAACUGCAAAUGAAAUAUUCAAUUCACUGAUCAAAGAGUUUGGCAGCUUGUUAGGUUGCUCGCUGGAAUAUGUUAAUAUUGAACAUAUAACAAAGUUGAAAAAUGGUGUAAAUUUUGCCAACUACAUUUACAUACCAACUGGCUUAGACAACAUUUUAAGCGUUUUAACAAAAAAUCUCUGCAAUACGCAGUUGAGAAUUGGCAAGCCGGUUGGUGAAAUCAAUUGGUAUAUACCGCCAGAAAUUGGUGAAAAACGUGUUGCGUGCUUAGAUGGUGACGUUUUUCGCGCAGAUCACAUAAUUUGUACGGUGCCAUUGGGUGUACUUAAAAUAUUUUCGGAAAAUAUGUUCAGACCGUCUUUACCAAGCAACAAAAUAAAUUCCAUAAAAAAACUUGGUUUUGGAAGUCCAGUAAAAAUUUAUUUUGAAUACGAAGGAAAUAUAGACAGCUGGCUGAAGAAUAGUUUGAGGCCAUUAUGGCACACUGGCGCUCCUAACUCAGAUAUGGCAUGGACGAAACAAGUAGUCGAAAUAUCGAAAUUACCCAAAAGUAAUAGAGUGGUUGAAGUAGUUAUUGGCGGUGAAUUUUACGAAAAAAUUGAGAAAUUACCAGAUCUGGAAAUGCUAACCGAAGUAACAAAUCUACUGCGUACAUUGUUGAAAAAUCAAAAUAUUCCUUAUCCUAGUACGAUGUUGCGUUCUAAUUGGAGUUCACUGGCAUGCUAUUUAGGUGGACGCCCUUACUUUUCUACGGGCAGCACAAUAAAUGACGUUUUAACACUUGCCGAACCGCUGGGACCCAUGUCAAGUCUACUGUUUGCUGGCGAUGCAACCAUAGUAGAAGGAUUUGGCACAGUAGAUGGUGCGCACAAGAGUGGCAUUAGAGAGGCGCAACGCAUAAUCGAUCACUACAACAAACACGCGGCUGUUUAAUUCAUAAAGCCGAAGAAAUGAAAUGACAAAUGUGAUAUUUUUUUAAUUACGUUUUAAUAACAUGAAUUUUGAUUUAAAAUUUAUAAAUAGCUUACUUAUUAGCAUAUAACACACAACAUCAAUGCAAAACUGUUAAAAGCAUUAAGUAAAUAGUAUUUGGCUAUAAUAUCAACAACAAUAAUAUAUUUAAGCAUUUAUGUACUAAUGGAAUAUAUAUGGUAGAGAGAAUGUUAGCAGGCAUUCGUUUUCAUUGAACCAAUUGAAGUACAACUUCAGAUGUCAUUAGCAGCUUCACUAACUUCAUGCCAAGAAUAUUCCAUGUCCUCUGGCUUGGUAAAUCUGGAGCAAACCGCCAUACGUAAAAAGUAUACAUCAUUUAUUUUACUUGGCACCAUAUGUAUGUUACCGCGUCCGUUAAUAAGUUUUAAUAGUUUCUCACUCUUAUCAUUAGCACCCUUUAAACGGAAACAAACCAAACCCAUAUUUACAUCGCCAACAAUUUCAAAACGAUUAUCGGCUCUGCAGAGAUCAGCAAACUGUGUAGCGUAGCCACAGUGACGACGUAUGUGUGCCUGUAGAUUUUGCACGCCAUACAAGCGUAGUACAAACCACAAUUUCAAAGCACGGAAACGACGACCUAAUGGAAUUUGCCAGUGUCGGUAGUCGGGUACUGAACCCUGCAUGUCGUGCUUCAAAUACAACGGGUCCACAUUGAAAGCAUUCACCACCCAACUGGGAUCUUUGAGCCACAUAGCACUGCAAUCGAAAUUCACCAACAUCCAUUUGUGUGGAUUAAAAUUAAACGAGUCUGCCGUUUCGAUGCCUUUCAUUAGAUGACGGUAUUCGGGGCAAAUAAAAGAGGCACCCGCAUAAGCAGCAUCCACAUGUAUCCAAACGCCGUACUUGUUGCCAACAGGACCACAUUCGUCCAAGUAAUCGAAAGCACAUGAAUUUGUAGUGCCCAACGUGACAACGGCCUACAAAUAGCAAUAAAAAAUAUAGUAGAAAUAUAUUUGAAAAUAUUAGAGCGGAGAUAUUCUUAUAAAAAGUAGGCGUAUAUAUCCAUAUGUUAUAUGAACAUAAAUUUGCCCAAAAAAAGUAAAAAUAUACACAAUUAUCAUAACACAAAAACAAUUAGGCGAUAUAUUCGUAAGUGUCGAAAUCUAAUGCUGUAUUAAGAAAUUCAAAAUUAUUUAUUUCAAACAUUUUGUACAACAAUACGCUUUGCAACUGUAAUUUAAUAAGCUCUCUCUAAGCUACUUCAACUUUUCUGUAUUGAAAAAAAAUUAUUGUAAAACACGUUUUCUAGUCGGUAACACUAAAAUUUUAGUUACCCAGAAUAAAAUAUAUGAAAAUGGAAAAAAAGAAUAGCUUAUGUCAAAAAAUAUAAAUUGAAAAAAGUAACAAAUUUACCUACUCGAAUAUACAACUAACUUCAUUAAAUAUAAUAAAAAUUAUAUUUUUGAACUCCAUAA